RNAcentral lists this small nucleolar RNA (149 nucleotides) under Castor canadensis (American beaver). RNAcentral's name for it is "Small nucleolar RNA SNORA73 family (ENSCCNG00000027925.1)". The record is from RNAcentral. Lineage: Eukaryota; Metazoa; Chordata; Mammalia; Rodentia; Castoridae.
CCCAGCCAGAUCUAAUUAUUAUUAUUAUUAUUAAUUUUUGAUACUGGGGUUUGAACUCAGGGCCUUCACUUUGAGCACCUGCAUAUUCCUACAACUUCUCAGAGUCCUGUGGGCAGUGACUGAGGAGACAAGCCAUGCAGGAAACACUC